AUUGAACGCUGGCGGCAUGCUUUACACAUGCAAGUCGAACGGGCUUGGGGGCUUGCUCCCAAGUUAGUGGCGAACGGGUGAGUAAUACAUCGGAACGUACCGUGUAGUGGGGGAUAACUUAGCGAAAGUUAGGCUAAUACCGCAUACGAUCUACGGAUGAAAGUGGGGGACCUUCGGGCCUCACGCUAUACGAGCGGCCGAUGUCUGAUUAGCUAGUUGGUGAGGUAAAGGCUCACCAAGGCGACGAUCAGUAGCGGGUCUGAGAGGAUGAUCCGCCACACUGGGACUGAGACACGGCCCAGACUCCUACGGGAGGCAGCAGUGGGGAAUUUUGGACAAUGGGCGAAAGCCUGAUCCAGCCAUGCCGCGUGUCUGAAGAAGGCCUUCGGGUUGUAAGG
This 398-nucleotide ribosomal RNA is filed under the name uncultured bacterium. RNAcentral describes it as "bacterial SSU rRNA". It matches the Rfam family "Bacterial small subunit ribosomal RNA", at positions 30 to 430 of the family's 1533-position model. The record is from RNAcentral.